Molecule: ribosomal RNA, 253 nt
Filed under: uncultured bacterium
Lineage: Bacteria
Description: partial 16S ribosomal RNA
Rfam family: Bacterial small subunit ribosomal RNA
Source: RNAcentral
UACGUAGGGUGCAAGCGUUGUCCGGAAUUAUUGGGCGUAAAGAGCUCGUAGGCGGCUUGUCGCGUCGGCUGUGAAAACCUGGGGCUCAACCCCGGGCCUGCAGCCGAUACGGGCAAGCUAGAAUUCGGUAGGGGAGACUGGAAUUCCUGGUGUAGCGGUGAAAUGCGCAGAUAUUAGGAGGAACACCGGUGGCGAAGGCGGGUCUCUGGGCCGAUAUUGACGCUGAGGAGCGAAAGCGUGGGGAGCGAACAGG